UGGGGAAUCUUCCGCAAUGGACGAAAGUCUGACGGAGCAACGCCGCGUGAGUGAAGAAGGUUUUCGGAUCGUAAAACUCUGUCUUUUGGGGCGAACGUGAGUAUGGUGAACAAUCAUAGUCAGUGACGGUACCAAAGGAGGAAGCCACGGCUAACUACGUGCCAGCAGCCGCGGUAAUACGUAGGUGGCAAGCGUUGUCCGGAAUUAUUGGGCGUAAAGAGCGCGUAGGCGGGAUAGUCAGUCUGUUGUAAAAGUGCGGGGCUCAACCCCGUGACGGCAAUGGAAACAGCUAUUCUUGAGUGCAGGAGAGGAAAGUGGAAUUCCCAGUGUAGCGGUGAAAUGCGUAGAUAUUGGGAGGAACACCAGUGGCGAAGGCGACUUUCUGGACUGUGUCUGACGCUGAGGCGCGAAAGCCAGGGGAGCGAACGGGAUUAGAUACCCCGGUAGUCCUGGCCGUAAACGAUGGGUACUAGGUGUGGGAGGUAUCGACCCCUUGCCGUGCCGGAGUUAACGCAAUAAGUACCCCGCCUGGGGAGUACGGUCGCAAGACUGAAACUCAAAUGAAUUGACGGGGUCAUAGCUG
This 583-nucleotide ribosomal RNA is filed under the name uncultured bacterium. RNAcentral describes it as "partial 16S ribosomal RNA". It matches the Rfam family "Bacterial small subunit ribosomal RNA", at positions 355 to 932 of the family's 1533-position model. The record is from RNAcentral.